AUGAGCCAAGGAUUCAGAGAAAAAUAUAACAUUCCUUCUGUACCUUAUGGGUCAAAAGUUAUUAGCAUAAAGAUACAGACAAUUUUGACAAGUGGUGGCGCUAGAGAGUUGGAGUUAGAGACUCCAAAUUUGCUAUGGUUUAUGUUGAGACUGUCCUCUAUCAGUGUGCCAAAUUUCACAACUUUCCCGCAAGCGGUUCUAUGGGCUGCCAUAGACUUGCGGCGGAAGAAGAAGAAGAAGAAGAAGAAGAAGAAGAAGAAGAAGAAGAAUGACGCCAACGGAUACAAUAGUUGCCUACGCACCUUCGGUGCUUGGCCCCUAAUAAUAACGGCAACGAUUUCAAUAGGUGCCUACGCACCUUCCGUGCUUGGCCCCUAAUAAUAACGCCAACGAUUUCCAUCGGUGCCUACGCACCUUCGGUGCUUGGCACCUAAUAAUAACGCCAACGAUUUCAAUAUGUGCCUACGUACCUUCGGUGCUUGGCCCCUAAAUAUAGCUGCAAGCAGCAAUUACAGGGCCAAGCACUCCAGCGGCAUAUUGAGGAGCUAAGCAUGGCGCGGAGCAACAAUGAGCGAUUACAGCAAUUUUAGGAUGAUUGUAAUUGAAAUUUAUUAUUAAAAGUAUUAUGAUUAAAUGGUUUAUCACUUUUGACCAACAGUUGGCGCUGUGAUCAAAUCAUUUUGGUGUGUUCUGUGUGAGGUGAGAAUGGCACACACAAAGUUUGGUGUCAGUAUGCUAAAGCAUAGCAGAGAUACAGCCUCAAGUGUGAUUUUGGCAUCAUGCCUGAAAUUCGUC
Cyprinus carpio (common carp) is the source of this 795-nucleotide long non-coding RNA. The record is from Ensembl. Lineage: Eukaryota; Metazoa; Chordata; Actinopteri; Cypriniformes; Cyprinidae.